GAGGGUAUAGCUCAAGUGGCAGAGUGCAUGCUUAGCAUGCAUGAGGUCCUGGGUUCAAUCCCCAGUACCUCCU
RNAcentral lists this transfer RNA (73 nucleotides) under Camelus bactrianus (Bactrian camel). It matches the Rfam family "tRNA". From Rfam's summary of the family: Transfer RNA (tRNA) molecules are approximately 80 nucleotides in length. Their secondary structure includes four short double-helical elements and three loops (D, anti-codon, and T loops). The record is from Rfam by way of RNAcentral. Lineage: Eukaryota; Metazoa; Chordata; Mammalia; Artiodactyla; Camelidae. RNAcentral also lists the same sequence under 3 other names.